This 556-nucleotide ribosomal RNA is filed under the name uncultured Halobacterium sp. RNAcentral's name for it is "bacterial SSU rRNA". It matches the Rfam family "Archaeal small subunit ribosomal RNA", at positions 325 to 879 of the family's 1478-position model. The record is from RNAcentral. Lineage: Archaea; Methanobacteriati; Methanobacteriota; Halobacteria; Halobacteriales; Halobacteriaceae.
ACGGGGAGCAGCAGGCGCGAAACCUUUACACUGCACGACGUGCGAUAAGGGGACCCCGAGUGCGAGGGCAUACAGAUCCUCGCUUUUGUAUACCGUAAGGAGGUACACGAAUAAGAGCUGGGCAAGACCGGUGCCAGCCGCCGCGGUAAUACCGGCAGCUCGAGUGAUGGCCGAUCUUAUUGGGCCUAAAGCGUCCGUAGCCGGCCGGGCAAGUCCGUUGGGAAAUCUGUUCGCUUAACGAACAGGCGUCCAGCGGAAACUGCUCGGCUUGGGACCGAAAGACCUGAGGGGUACGUCCGGGGUAGGAGUGAAAUCCUGUAAUCCUGGACGGGCCGCCGAUGGGGAAACCACCUCAGGAGGGCGGAUCCGACGGUGAGGGACGAAAGCUAGGGUCUCGAACCGGAUUAGAUACCCGGGUAGUCCUAGCUGUAAACGAUGUCUGCUAGGUGUGGCACAGGUCUACGAGCCUGUGCUGUGCCGUAGGGAAGCCGAGAAGCAGACCGCCUGGGAAGUACGUCCGCAAGGAUGAAACUUAAAGGAAUUGGCGGGGGAGCAC